AUUGAACGCUGGCGGCAGGCCUAACACAUGCAAGUCGAACGGUAACAGGAAGAAGCUUGCUUCUUUGCUGACGAGUGGCGGACGGGUGAGUAAUGUCUGGGAAACUGCCUGAUGGAGGGGGAUAACUACUGGAAACGGUAGCUAAUACCGCAUAACGUCGCAAGACCAAAGAGGGGGACCUUCGGGCCUCUUGCCAUCGGAUGUGCCCAGAUGGGAUUAGCUAGUAGGUGGGGUAACGGCUCACCUAGGCGACGAUCCCUAGCUGGUCUGAGAGGAUGACCAGCCACACUGGAACUGAGACACGGUCCAGACUCCUACGGGAGGCAGCAGUGGGGAAUAUUGCACAAGGGGCGCAAGCCUGAUGCAGCCAUGCCGCGUGUAUGAAGAAGGCCUUCGGGUUGUAAAGUACUUUCAGCGGGGAGGAAGGGAGUAAAGUUAAUACCUUUGCUCAUUGACGUUACCCGCAGAAGAAGCACCGGCGAACUCCGU
This 489-nucleotide ribosomal RNA is filed under the name uncultured bacterium. RNAcentral describes it as "partial 16S ribosomal RNA". It matches the Rfam family "Bacterial small subunit ribosomal RNA", at positions 30 to 506 of the family's 1533-position model. The record is from RNAcentral.